Molecule: long non-coding RNA, 2781 nt
Organism: Daphnia pulex (common water flea)
Lineage: Eukaryota; Metazoa; Arthropoda; Branchiopoda; Diplostraca; Daphniidae
Exons: 7
Source: RefSeq, a predicted model, not a curated record
UUGUUUAAACUUUCUUAGACACAUGAACAUAAUAGGGAUACCUUUGUAACUGGGUCGAACCCCUUUCCAUGGAAAACUUUUAUUUUUUAAAUAAAAAAUUUGUUUUUAUGGUUUGAAUUGCGUCUCGGGGGCUUCCGCAUUCUGAAAGAACAUAUCCAAUCAAUGUUUUGGCUUAAAUAUUAAUUAAAAUCGUGGAAGAUUAUGUAACGGACUGAGGAGAAGCGAGCCAAAUUUAAGUAGCUCUAAAUCGUAUUGGCUACAAGCUAGGCGUUAGCCCUCUUGCCUAAAAUUGCAUCAUGUUUUAUCAUUUAUAAAUCGGUGUGAACGAAUCUAGGGAAAGAGAAUGCCGAGAACGAGGCGAGAUCUGGUCAACCUUCGAAAACUCUUGUGGAAAUCAACGUCCGAUUCUGCCAGGAUGAUUUUCGGAGCUGCUGUCAGGCAAUUUCAAUUUAGGAGCUUGACGAAAUUACAUCACCAAUAGUAGCCAUAUUCGUUUUCGACACUGGAAAGACCGCCGAACGCCCCAACAUAACCAUUUACGAUGAAUGACAAUGCUUUCUUCACCAAGAAAAACCGUAAAUAUUUAUCACUUUCAGUCCGUAUUAAUUACGUUACUGGAAAGUGUGGCAUGACGUGCGGCACGAGGUGGAGGGUCAAUGGAAUCCAUUUGUCUUGUGUAGCCGGCACUUUGAUUCUGUAGAAAACAUUUCUAUUUUUAAAAUGGAAUCCUAGUAGUGACUUUUCUCUUACUGUUAUAUCGAUCAGAUUACUAGACUUCAUGCACCUUGGACGUCAGAGUCUAACCAAGAGGUUUUGCUUCCGGAGCAGAAGAGAAAGUCAUUCGAGUUUUCCAAGCACAUCACAAUUUUCUACAGAAAUUUGCCCGGAUCUGUCGUAUUCAUCAGCCAAUUCCAGAAAGGUGAUCCUGUUUAAGUCUUAUGUCUUUCCAAUAAACCCGUUUACCAUAGAGCCGAGCCAGAAGUUCCGAAAACUCCACAUUAAAAAAAUGUUUCUAUUCUCCCUUCAGAUUUAUCCUUCGCAAAUUUUCGUGACUUAAUCCAAGGCUGGAAACUGAGCGAAAGAUUUCUAAAAUUCAAUGCCGAUAUUUGUGUGAGUGUUAAGUUCUUUAGGGUUUUUUGUUUUAUUUUUCUUGUUUGUUAUUUUACCCGAAGGGUUUCUGAGUGGGUAACUGGAUAUUCGUUUUGCUGGUAUGGGUAGUUUUAGGUCUCAAGUGUAGCGCUAGAUGGUUACUGGUUAAUUAGAAAAUCAAAAGAAAAAAUGGGUUUUCACGUGAAGGCAUUUCAAAUUUCAAUUCGAAUUCUUGUCUAAUUAAACCUUAAUAAUUAAUGCCGUCAAAGAAAUUUUGAUUUUGCCUGCAAAUCACGCAAAAUUUAUUGCAAGUUUUCUUGCUGGGUAUCCGUAAUGUUAAUGGGAAAUCAAUAAAUAGCUAGUAGAGUAGUAGUUGAGAAAAUUUGUCAUUCGAAAAUGCACAGAAUACAGUUAAUAAUUUAUUGUAUGAUUAUGAUUAAUGGUUGAACUGGACGUAUAAUAAUAUAGAUAGCAAAUGUUUUUGGUUUAUGAAAAUGCAGCGACUUGCUGAAAAUUGAAAUUUGAAGUGAAAUACUGUUGACGAAGUUUUGGCUCAGCUUUGUCGCGGCAUGAGCCCCACUCACCGACGAUGACUUAUCUUAAAGCAACACGACGACGAAUCGGACAUUUACCAAAUGGAAAUCAUUUCCUGGGAGUGUCCAAGGGCUUCAGUUCUCUCAGACUACGAGUUAGCAAUUGAAGUUUAAUUUGAAGGAUGAGUGAACUGCUUGCUCCAUUUAAUAUAAUGCUAAACAAAAGAAACUGACCUUGAUUUUGGGACAAGCUAGUCGAAAUCAGAAUAUUCAUUCUUCAUUUGCACAUCGAAAACUGGUGAGAUCAAAGUGGGACGUCAAGACUAGUUAGUGAAUCUAUUUUUCCUAUUUUUUCUUGUCGUUACAAUCGACAGCUGCCGUUCCACUACAUUGUUUUGACAUUUUUCGUCUGUUGCCAGUGUUGCCGAAAUCAUGUCACAAAUGAGAAUGAUCUCGCAAUUCUGCCCGAUGAUCCGAUAUUUAAUUUGAUAAUCGUUCAACGUGCAAAAAAUUGCAAUUGGUAGAGGCAGAGUGCUGUUGGAAUGUCAAACGUCAAACAUCCAUUGAAAGUAAAAAAAAAAAAAAAAGCGGAUGAGAUGUGAGCUGUGGUCGUUCGGCUUAUUUUUAGCUCCACCUAUCUAGUGUAACUUGCUUGAACAAGCGGCCUAGGAAGAGAUAACUGUUCUAGCCGUAGACACCAAUCUUUGUUAAGAGAUCGGAUGCCCAGUCUCUUCGCCUACAUUGAUAAGGUAUCUGGUCGCAUGUGACUUCAGACAACCUUAUUCACCAGACCGACCACUGCAGACAUCCCUCGGGUAUGGAAACGAUUAUACUCACCAGGGGAAUCGAACUCACGGUCUCAAAGUGCUUCGUUUACUGAGUGACGCGUUGUCCGACUCACCUACCCGACCCGCACUGGAUUUACAUUAUUAAGAGACGUAUUUUUAGGUCUACUUUAUUUUAUACCUUGAUGUGGCAUGUUCAUCUGACUAUCAACUCCCAACGACUCUUGUAUGGUCAUUUUAGCAUUUAAUCCCAAAAUAAAUUCUCAAGAAAUUACGAAAUUACAAGAAAAAAAAAUUGAGUAAGGACUGGGGCAAGGACAUUAACAAAUUUUGGCAACGUUGGUGCAACAAUUAAUCGUCGUCUGCCGUUUCAA